Daktulosphaira vitifoliae (grape phylloxera) is the source of this 694-nucleotide long non-coding RNA. RefSeq lists it as uncharacterized. The record is from RefSeq and is a predicted model, not a curated record. Lineage: Eukaryota; Metazoa; Arthropoda; Insecta; Hemiptera; Phylloxeridae. The transcript is spliced from 3 exons.
ACGCAUACAAUGGAUAAUUGCAUGCGUGAAAACAUCAGUGGAACUAUCAGUAAUUUUUAGAUACUAUUUACGCUAAAAGUCUUUUUAGCUCUGUGAUAUUACAGAUGUAAAUAAAAUUACUCCAAGUGUCAAGAAACUCUUGGCAACAAAAUAUAAGUACUGAUAGAUGCAAACAGCAUAGGUUCAGUUUGAAUGGAAUUCUAUACUUCAGUUUGCGAAAUUAUAGGAAAUAAAAUAUCACAUUCCGCAAGAUAUAAAAAACAUUUGUUUACACAAAUAGUAAUAUAAAGAAUGUCAAAAAGCAAAAACGGAUAGAUUAUAAUAUUGUUCUAAAAUAUUUUGAUUAGUUGUCUAAUCAAAGCAAUUGACGAUUCGAUGGAAAAAAACCGGAGGUGGUAUUACAGUCAUGCAUUCGUGGUUACAUCAAUUGUGAUGGCGUUUUGUAUUAUUUCGGUCAUCGGUCAAAGUGAUUUAGCUGGGUCUUAUUGCGCUUCAAGAUCUCGAGGAUGCUGUCCUGGUCGUCAAGACGAAUGUUCCGUACCUAUUUUAGGUACUUUGUGUUAUUGUGAUGAUUUUUGCAACCAUACUCGAUCUGAAGACUGUUGUCCAGAUUACUGGUCGUACUGUAAGGGUAUCAUAACACCAUUACCAAUUAAACGUAAGCCUAUAAAACUAUUUUAUUCAUAAAUUAAUC